This 608-nucleotide ribosomal RNA is filed under the name uncultured bacterium. RNAcentral describes it as "bacterial SSU rRNA". It matches the Rfam family "Bacterial small subunit ribosomal RNA", at positions 31 to 542 of the family's 1533-position model. The record is from RNAcentral.
CGAACGCUGGCGGCGUGCUCAUACAUCGUCAAGUCGAACGAGUUUGCUUUUCACUGAAGGCUUGUGCUUGCACCAACUGAUUUACAAAAUAAACGAGUGGCGGACGGGUGAGUAACACGUGGGUAACCUACCCUAAAGUGGGGGAUAACAUUUGGAAACAGAUGCUAAUACCGCAUAACAUUAAAAACCACAUGGUUUUUAAUUGAAAGACGGCGUAAGCUGUCACUUUUGGAUGGACCCGCGGCGUAUUAGCUAGUUGGUGAGGUAACGGCUCACCAAGGCGAUGAUACGUAGCCGACCUGUAGAGGGUGAUCGGCCACAUUGGGACUGAGACACGGCCAAACUCCUACGGGAGGCAGCAGUAGGGAAUCUUCCACAAUGGACGAAAGUCUGAUGGAGCAACGCCGCGUGAGUGAAGAAGGUAUUUCGGAUCGUAAAACUCUGUUAUUGGAGAAGAACGUAUUUGGUAGUAACUGGCCAGAUAGUGACGGUAUCCAAGUCAGAAAGCCACGGCUAACUACGUGCCAGAACAGACGACGGUACUACGUAGGUGGCCAAAGCGUUUGUACCGGAUCUAAGGCAAGGUCCAUGCGUAGAGCGAGUGCAGG